Non-coding RNA from Oryza nivara, 206 nucleotides. Lineage: Eukaryota; Viridiplantae; Streptophyta; Magnoliopsida; Poales; Poaceae. The record is from Rfam.
AAUAAGUAUAGAUUUACACUGUUUAUAUACAACGUUUAACCGUUUGUCUUAUUUGAAAGUUUUUUAUAAUUACUAACUUUGUUAUUAUUAGAUAAUAAAACAUAAAUAACUCUUUUUGUGUGACUAAUUUUUUAAUAUCUUCAUAAAUUUUUUAAAUAAGAUGAACGGUCCAACGUUGGACACGAAUACCUACGGCUGCACUUAUU